GACACAGCGCCGGAUGAACGGAUAACUCUGAUGACGUUAACUAAGGAAUUUAUUCCCUAUGUCU
This 64-nucleotide transfer RNA is filed under the name Eisenia nordenskioldi nordenskioldi. RNAcentral describes it as "tRNA-Ile". The record is from RNAcentral. Lineage: Eukaryota; Metazoa; Annelida; Clitellata; Crassiclitellata; Lumbricidae.